Long non-coding RNA from Ictalurus punctatus (channel catfish), 913 nucleotides. The record is from Ensembl. NCBI's taxonomy places the organism in Eukaryota, Metazoa, Chordata, Actinopteri, Siluriformes, Ictaluridae.
CUUUUAAACACCGCUGUAUGUGUGUCUGUUUCUGCCUUUAGGAGCCCCAUAACAAGCCAGAGACUGAGAGAGCUGAGCAGCACAGAGCUGAGUGUGUGUGUGUGUGUGUGUGUGUGUGUGUGUGCAUCUUUAAAAAUAAAAGAAGUUUGCUGAAAAGCGAAAGGGAAAUAAAGAGAAUAAAGAGUCUUGUGAGUUGUAAGCCUGCCUCCCAUUUCCUCAUGUCCUUCUGAACCAAAAAGGGAAUUGUUACUCUGAUGAUGAAACCCAGGAAUUGAGGAGGAUUGGCGGUCAUGGAGUCCUCGCCAGAUGGGACCGCAGCACGACCCAGAGGCAUUUGUUGAGUUGUUUGAGUGUGCAGCAGAAGCUUGGAGCUGGCCAGAGUCACAGUGGGCAGUUCAGCUGCUGCUGCUACUGUCGGGGGAAGGCCACACCCACAAACAGCACCGUCAGCUCACUGCUCAUUCAGAGAGCUCUGCCACCGAUUAGCAUUCACCCAGCAGCACCGGGACACCUGCUGAAGAUGGCUGCUGGCAGAGGAGCACGGCGCUGUGGAUGUGUUGGAGCAGUUCUUCUCCCAACUACUGCAGGGGACAGCCGAGUGGGUCCAGUACCACUGUCCGGUGUCGCUAGAUGAGGAGAUCCAGUGGGCGGAGCUCCAUUUGACGGUGAAUGCAGGGGCAGGAACAAAAACACAGGUUUUCUCAAUCAAUGAAAGUAGGAAAUUCUUGGAUGUCCAAAGUAAGAUUGAGGAACGGUUGAAGAAACGCGUUCAGCUCCAUCAAGUGGCUUCAGAGGAUUAUUGUGAUGUCAUCAUGGCUUUUGUACCCAUUGUGUCCCGGGCUGGAACAGACAUUGCAGCUGCUCUUCGAAAUAUUCCAACAAAUCGGCCUGUCAUCCUCGUGGUGCUCCACCA